GUUUUUCUCUCAAGGGUUUCAAGGGAAACCUAGCGCCGCCGUUGAAAUCCCUUCUCUCUCCUGCGUUAGCCUCGCCAUUUUUGGCAAAAUAGCAGGUGUACAACACCUUUUCAGGCCUUGCAUGGAUAGAUCGACCAAGCAUUUAAUGCUUCGUCUACAAAUUCGCCAAACACGACCUCAGAAAGAUUUACGAGCUUGGGAGGAUAAGCGUUAAAUAUUUAAGGUUAAGGCGACCGAAAAGGUUGACAGAUAGACGAAUCUGACCCGUAGGUGCUUUAUCAGCGGACUUUCAGGAGCACUUCACUUACUUUGUAGCUACAGUCUAUUGGUAUUGGUCUUCAUGGUCACUUGUAUCCUAUGUAGAGGUUCGUAGAUAUGUGUGUACAGUUAGACGUUUUAUAACCCUAUUGGUUCAUACCAUUGUAUAACAUUUUAGUAGCUUUGUUGGCUGGUGAUGAUGGACAUAAUUGUUGAAGAUUAUAUAGAGAUGUGCCAUCAUUGUGAUAUAUGUCCUUACAAAUUAUGAUAUCCAUGAGCUAUCUUUAUGGUCCACCCAUAAAUGAUUAUGAGAAGUAUGUUUAAAGGUGCUCGGUGUGUUAGCUUCGGGUGCCUGUCAUGGCCCUCUGGUUGGGUCGUGACAAAACACCUCAAAACUCCUGAUAUACCCGGAGAUAUACCUCUCUGAAGUUGACCCAAAAUUUCUAUCCAAAAUUUUGCCAAAUUUUCGAAAAACUUAUUUUCUUCGAUUUGCUUGAACCCGGAACCUUUAGACACUUGCUUAACAAUUGUUAAGAGUAUUCCUUGACCUUAUAACGGUUCCAUGACCUCUCCGAUCUUACGUUAUUUUACUCACAACACAAACGACGCAAAAAAUUUUGAGGUGUAACACAAUUUGAAUAAAGUAGCACGAAGGAAGGAAAGAGAGUGAGAUUUCCUAAAUGUCCCAUAGCCUCCCGCAGAUAAGUACGGAGCUCAUCGUACCGAUCCACAAGACUCUACUAGACACGCUCUUAUAUUAAAGACUGGGUAACCUAGGGCUCUGAUACCAACUUGUC
This is a long non-coding RNA of Lycium barbarum (goji berry), 1055 nucleotides long. RefSeq lists it as uncharacterized. Lineage: Eukaryota; Viridiplantae; Streptophyta; Magnoliopsida; Solanales; Solanaceae. The transcript is spliced from 3 exons. The record is from RefSeq and is a predicted model, not a curated record.